CCCGCACAAGCGGUGGAGCAUGUGUUAAUUCGAAGCAACGCGAAGAACCUUACCAGGUCUUGACAUCCCAAUGCUAUUUCUAGAGAUAGAAAGUUACUUCGGUACAUCGGUGACAGGUGGUGCAUGGUUGUCGUCAGCUCGUGUCGUGAGAUGUUGGGUUAAGUCCCGCAACGAGCGCAACCCCUAUUGUUAGUUGCCAUCAUUCAGUUGGGCACUCUAGCGAGACUGCCGGUAAUAAACCGGAGGAAGGUGGGGAUGACGUCAAAUCAUCAUGCCCCUUAUGACCUGGGCUACACACGUGCUACAAUGGUUGGUACAACGAGUUGCGAGUCGGUGACGGCGAGCUAAUCUCUUAAAGCCAAUCUCAGUUCGGAUUGUAGGCUGCAACUCGCCUACAUGAAGUCGGAAUCGCUAGUAAUCGCGGAUCAGCACGCCGCGGUGAAUACGUUCCCGGGCCUU
RNAcentral lists this ribosomal RNA (459 nucleotides) under uncultured Streptococcus sp. Its description in RNAcentral is "bacterial SSU rRNA". It matches the Rfam family "Bacterial small subunit ribosomal RNA", at positions 920 to 1382 of the family's 1533-position model. Lineage: Bacteria; Bacillati; Bacillota; Bacilli; Lactobacillales; Streptococcaceae. The record is from RNAcentral.